Molecule: ribosomal RNA, 501 nt
Filed under: uncultured bacterium
Lineage: Bacteria
Description: bacterial SSU rRNA
Rfam family: Bacterial small subunit ribosomal RNA
Source: RNAcentral
GACGAACGCUGGCGGCGUGGAUUAGGCAUGCAAGUCGAACGGUAUCAUCCUUUCGGGGGUGAGAGAGUGGCGAACUGGUGAGUAACACGUAGGUUAUCUACCCUCAAGACGGGGACAACCCAGGGAAACUUGGGCUAAUACCGGAUGUGAGCAACUUUUAGUUGUUUGAAAGGUGGCGUAAGCUGUCGCUUGGGGAUGAGCCUGCGUCCUAUUAGUUAGUUGGUGAGGUAACGGCUCACCUAGGCAAUGAUAGGUAGGCGGCCUUAACGGGUGGUCGCCCACACUGGGAUUGAGAUACGGCCCAGACUCCUACGGGAGGCAGCAGUCGAGAAUAGUCUACAAUGGUCGGAAGACUGAUAGUGCGACGCCGCGUGAACGAUGAAUCCCUUCGGGGUGUAAAGUUCUUUUAUAUGUGAGCAGUGCUUCUUAUAUUAACAGUAUGGGGAAGAGAUAUUAGCAUAUGAAUAAGCAACGGCUAACUCCGUGCCAGCAGCCGACGGU